Molecule: antisense RNA, 75 nt
Filed under: Micromonospora carbonacea
Lineage: Bacteria; Bacillati; Actinomycetota; Actinomycetes; Micromonosporales; Micromonosporaceae
Description: ASpks TB sRNA
Rfam family: ASpks TB sRNA
Source: RNAcentral
CUUGAUGGAGCCCAGCCACAGGGGACGGUCGGCGGGCCGGUCCUGCCCGUAGGUGGCCAGCAGCGCCUGCGCCUC